GGGGCUGUUCCAGGAUUCGACAAAAAUUUUGAAGUUUGAGGUGCAUGUCGUGGGGUGGUUUGCCACGUUAAAAGCCACAUUAAAAUAGUCGCAAACGACGAAAACUACGCAUUAGCAGCUUAAUAAACUGUUUAUUGCUCUCCCUACUCAGCUUUGGCUCGUUAAGACGAGGAUUCAUGGGAGAUUUAAACUAAAACGCGCUAGCUCAGUAUCUUUGCCUGAAAGAUAAAGGGUGAAAUUAAAUCAGGUUAGCCUUUUGUGCAAUGCGCUGUCGAUUCGCAAGCAUUGGUGAAUUCUAAAAAAUUGACUAAGCAUGUAGUGCUGAUUAUGGAUAGUUUUUGGACGCGGGUUCGACUCCCGCCAGCUCCACCA
RNAcentral lists this transfer-messenger RNA (372 nucleotides) under Vibrionaceae. RNAcentral describes it as "Vibrio katoptron Standard tmRNA". It matches the Rfam family "transfer-messenger RNA". From Rfam's summary of the family: Bacterial tmRNA, also known as 10Sa RNA or SsrA, is named for its dual tRNA and mRNA-like properties. Its role is to liberate the mRNA from a stalled ribosome. RNAcentral also lists the same sequence under 1 other name. The record is from RNAcentral. Lineage: Bacteria; Pseudomonadati; Pseudomonadota; Gammaproteobacteria; Vibrionales.